GAGUUUGAUCCUGGCUCAGGACGAACGCUGGCGGCGUGCUUAACACAUGCAAGUCGAGCGUGAACCUCAGGUGGGGUAACCCACUCGAGGGGAAAGCGGCGAACGGGGUGAGUAACACGUGGGCAACCUGCCCCAGACUCUGGGAUAACUCCGGGAAACCGGGGCUAAUACCGGAUACUCUCGCGCAACCACAUGGGUGCACGAGGAAAGCUCCGACGGUCUGGGAUGGGCCCGCGGCCUAUCAGCUUGUUGGUGGGGUAACGGCCCACCAAGGCGACGACGGGUAGCUGGCGUGAGAGCGUGGCCAGCCACACUGGGACUGAGACACGGCCCAGACUCCUACGGGGGGCAGCAGUGGGGAAUCUUGCGCAAUGGGCGAAAGCCUGACGCAGCGACGCCGCGUGGGGGAAGAAGGCCUUC
Molecule: ribosomal RNA, 420 nt
Filed under: uncultured bacterium
Lineage: Bacteria
Description: bacterial SSU rRNA
Rfam family: Bacterial small subunit ribosomal RNA
Source: RNAcentral